Mustela lutreola (European mink) is the source of this 1345-nucleotide long non-coding RNA. RefSeq lists it as uncharacterized. NCBI's taxonomy places the organism in Eukaryota, Metazoa, Chordata, Mammalia, Carnivora, Mustelidae. The transcript has 4 exons. The record is from RefSeq and is a predicted model, not a curated record.
AGUGAAGAAUGAAGUGACACGAGAGUGAGCGGUUCUCUGAAGGAUCUGCCUGUGUAACUGAGCUUCUAUGGAGACAAUCCUGAAGAAUUCUAUUUUUAAAGGCAUAUGGAGAAAGGUAGGCUCCAUGCCCAGUGCAGAGCCCAACGUGAAGAUUGAACUCAUUACCCUGAGAUCAAGACCUGCGCCGACAUCAAGAGUUGGACCUUUAACUGACUGACCCACCCAGUUGUUCCUCAUUCAUCUUAUUUUAAAAGAAAUGCCCCUCCAACACUUUGCAGCUCCUGACUGAGAGGACAUCUGAGACACCUACUUUUCCAAGGCAGCAGCUCAAAUUUGAAGGCAGAUUAUUUAUUUAUUUAUUUGACAGAUCACAAGUAGGCAGAGAGGCAGGCAGAGAGAGAGGAGGAAGCAGGCUCCCCACUGAGCAGAGAGCCUGAUGCAGGACUCGAUCCUAGGACCACAGGACCAUGACUCGAGCCAAAGGCAGAGGCUCCAACCCACUGAGCCACCCAAAGAGAUCACAAGCAGGCAGAGAGAGAAGGAAGAGGCUCCCUGUUGAGCAGAGAGCCCGAUGUGGGCUCGAUCCCAGGACCCUGAGAUCAUGACCUGAGCCGAAGGCAGAGGAUUAACCCACUGAGCCACCCGGGUGCCCCAAUUCUUUUUUAUAUGAACAUAAUCAUAGUUAUUUUUAAGUUGCUAGGUGAUAACUCCAUUAUUCAUAUUCUAUGGAUCUGCUUCUAUGUUCUAUUAUUUCUCUUAAGUUUUGACUUAAUUAUAUGCUUAGUUGUUACUUUUUGUUUUCUUUGCUAAAUCCUAAUCUCUGCAUAUUAAAAAAAUAGCAAUAUCUUGAGGCUUAGGGUGAUGUUGUUUUCCACCCAGAGAAAAUUUGUUUAUUUCUGACAGGUGGGUAAGGGCAUUCGUCAUCAAAGUUUACUUUAAUUCAAAUAGGGCUUUUAAUCAUUUGAGACUAGUUUAUGUUUUGUUCAGCCUUAUUCCCAAGCCUUGGAGAUUUGCCAGUCCCUUCCCACUUGGCAGGUUCUGGGCUUGCAUUUUUUCCAUUUAGCCUCUUGUGUCUGUUAAAAUCUCUGCUCAGCUUCUCUGUCAACUCUUUGUACUGGAAAUAUAGGCAGCCAUAGAGGAAACUAGACUCAAAUAUAUAUGGAUUACUCCAUGUUUUUAUCUUCUGAAUUUUGAUUUCAUUAUUCUUUACUUUCUUUUUGUAUCUCCUAUGAAUUCAAACAUAUUAAAACAAUGUGCCCACAUUUAUUAGUUGUUUUAAGCUGGAAAAAUGAUCUGAAAUAUCUAGUUUAGCAGUAUCAGAUUUCCACUAAUUUUGGAAAUUUAA